RNAcentral lists this ribosomal RNA (253 nucleotides) under uncultured bacterium. RNAcentral's name for it is "partial 16S ribosomal RNA". It matches the Rfam family "Bacterial small subunit ribosomal RNA", at positions 524 to 776 of the family's 1533-position model. The record is from RNAcentral.
UACGUAGGGGCCUAGCGUUGUCCGGAAUUAUUGGGCGUAAAGAGCUCGUAGGCGGUUCGGCAAGUCGGAUGUGAAAGUCGGGGGCUUAACCCUCGGAUGCCGGUGGAUACUGUCGGGCUUGAGUACGGAAGAGGCGAGUGGAAUUCCUGGUGUAGCGGUGAAAUGCGCAGAUAUCAGGAGGAACACCAAUGGCGAAGGCAGCACUCUGGGACGUGACUGACGCUGAGACGCGAAAGCGUGGGGAGCAAACAGG